UACGUAGGGCGCAAGCGUUGUCCGGAAUUAUUGGGCGUAAAGAGCUCGUAGGCGGCUUGUCGCGUCGGCUGUGAAAACCCGUGGCUCAACUGUGGGCGGGCAGCUGAUACGGGCAGGCUGGAGUUCGGUAGGGGAGACUGGAAUUCCUGGUGUAGCGGUGAAAUGCGCAGAUAUCAGGAAGAACACCCGUGGCUAAGGCGGCUCUCUAGUACGGUACUGACGCUGAGACGCGAAAGCGUGGGGAGCGAACAGG
This 253-nucleotide ribosomal RNA is filed under the name uncultured bacterium. RNAcentral's name for it is "partial 16S ribosomal RNA". It matches the Rfam family "Bacterial small subunit ribosomal RNA", at positions 524 to 776 of the family's 1533-position model. The record is from RNAcentral.